CCCUUAGAUGUCCGGGGCUGCACGCGCGCUACACUGUAGAAAGCAGCGUGCUUUAAAACCUUUCCUGAAAAGGAUGGGUAACCCCAGCAAAAUUCUACGUGCUUGGGAUAGAGAUUUGCAAUUUUCUCUCUUGAACGAGGAAUUCCCAGUAAGUGCGAGUCAUCAGCUCGCGUUGAUUACGUCCCUGCCCUUUGUACACACCGCCCGUCGCUACUACCGAUUGGGAAAAUUUUAGAGAGUCCUGGACUGAUGAUUGUUCGGCUUCACGGCCUUACUUUCGUCGGGAAAGAGUUCGAUAAUAUUUUUCUAGAGGAAGUAAAAGUCGUAACA
RNAcentral lists this ribosomal RNA (330 nucleotides) under uncultured eukaryote. Its description in RNAcentral is "partial 18S ribosomal RNA". It matches the Rfam family "Eukaryotic small subunit ribosomal RNA", at positions 1470 to 1796 of the family's 1831-position model. The record is from RNAcentral.